Molecule: long non-coding RNA, 401 nt
Organism: Eurytemora carolleeae
Lineage: Eukaryota; Metazoa; Arthropoda; Copepoda; Calanoida; Temoridae
Exons: 3
Source: RefSeq, a predicted model, not a curated record
UUCUGAAAAUUACCUUCAUUGUUUCUGCAGAUAUCCAUAUGUCACUUUUACAAAGAAAUCACAACUGAAAGUAAUCAAUUUUCAGCUAAAAAACUAGGAUUCCUCAUAAGUCCUUGAUCAGGUUCUGAUUUAUACAAGUUUGGCACAGCAAACGGUGCACAGUACACUGUACACUUUAAACUCUAAACUGUACACUGUAAAUUUUACACUGUAAAUUGUACACUGUAAUUUUUACACUGUAAAUUGUACAUGAUAUAUUUCAGAUAUAAUAUGAAAGGGAAGACGGGAGGUCUUAUAGCAGGGAUAGCUGGCAUAGUUCUGCUUGGACUUGGGGCUGGGCUUGGAUGGGGGGCUUUCCCCUCUAUUAUAAAGGGACAAGUUGAGGAAAAUAUUGAUUUAAA